Non-coding RNA from Nylanderia fulva, 850 nucleotides. NCBI's taxonomy places the organism in Eukaryota, Metazoa, Arthropoda, Insecta, Hymenoptera, Formicidae. The record is from RefSeq and is a predicted model, not a curated record.
AAUGCUUGGUUAAAAUAUUUUUAUAUUUAAAUGUUGUUAUAUUAUGUAUAUCUGUGUUUUACAUGUUGUACUGUUUAAAGCAAUUAAUAAUUAUAUAUGGUGUUUUUUUGCACGUAAAAUCUCACUGUCGUGACAUGAAAUUUUAAGCGCCAAAGAAUAUAGUAUUAUACAAUUAUUAAAUGUUUACGUACAGUAUAUUAUACGUAAAACAACUAUACAACAAAAUAAAACUGCUUAUAAAUAUAUAAUAGUUACUUCAAUAAUACAAAACGUUCUUCUACGUGGUUUACUAUGCAUAUAGUAUAAAUAUUUAUAUAAAGGUAGAUAUGACGACAGUCGUUAAAACUGCGUUUGUACUGCGAUAUGUUUGACGACGGUCGCGAAAACUGCCAACAGUCGUUAAAACUGCCUAGUUAUACUUGAGAACGUUGUCAAAACUGCCUUUGGAUAAAUAUAUAUUAUAUUAUAUUAUAUGUAUACAUAUAUGUAUACUCUGCACAUAUGACAGGAAGCUUAAUUUUACAUAUAUCAUUAAUUUAAUAUCUUAUUAGAGAUAUUUAGUUCUAAACAUAUUUAAAAGUUUACGAGAUUUUGGUCUUUUCUUCAUUUCGCAAUAGCAUUGGUGCAUCCGUUACCCUAGGAAUAAUGCAAUGUUAAAUCUAUGCAUGCGUAUAUUUACCAGUGCUGAAUAUGACUAGAGUGUAACUAGAGUAUGAUAUAAUAUUUUUAAAUAUCAUGUCUCCUUACCUUUUUGUCCUUUCAAUCUAAGGAAAGACUGAAGUGUGACGAUGACAAUUAUACUGAUAAGUUUGCUGUAGAAACAAGGUUUAAAUGUCACAUUCUCUAUUAA